AACGAACGCUGGCGGCAUGCCUAACACAUGCAAGUCGAACGAGAACUUCGGGUCUAGUGGCGCAGGGGGGCGUACGGCGGGGGAACAUGCCCUUAGGUUCGGAAUAACUCCCCGAAAGGGGUGCUAAUACCGGUUAAUGUCUUCGGACCAAAGAGUUGUCGCCGUUGGAUGGGCCCGCGUUGGAUUCGCUGGUUGGUAGGGGAAAAGCCUACCAAGGGGUGGCUCCAUAGCUGGUCUGAGAGGAUGACCCCCCACACUGGGACUGAGACACGGCCCAGAAUCCUAGGGAAGGGGGGAGUGGGGAAUACAGGACUAUGGGGGAAAGCCUGAUCCAGCAAUGCCGCGUGAGUGAUGAUGUCCGUAGGGAUGUAAAUCUCUUUUACCCGUGAUGAUAAUGACGGUACCGGGAGAAUAAGCACCGGCUAACUCCGUG
This 433-nucleotide ribosomal RNA is filed under the name uncultured bacterium. RNAcentral describes it as "partial 16S ribosomal RNA". It matches the Rfam family "Bacterial small subunit ribosomal RNA", at positions 29 to 507 of the family's 1533-position model. The record is from RNAcentral.